This 440-nucleotide ribosomal RNA is filed under the name uncultured bacterium. RNAcentral's name for it is "partial 16S ribosomal RNA". It matches the Rfam family "Bacterial small subunit ribosomal RNA", at positions 338 to 795 of the family's 1533-position model. The record is from RNAcentral.
CCUACGGGAGGCAGCAGUAGGGAAUCUUCCGCAAUGGGCGAAACCCUGACGCAGCAACGCCGCGUGGGGGAUGAAGGUUUUCGGAUUGUAAACUCCUGUUGUUAGGGAAGAUAAUGACGGUAUCUAACGAAUAAGCACCGGCUAACUCCGUACCAGCAGCCGCGGUAAUACGGAGGGUGCAAGCGUUACUCGGAAUCACUGGGCGUAAAGAGCGCGUAGGCGGGAUAGUAAGUCAGAUGUGAAAGCCCAUGGCUUAACCAUAGAACUGCAUUUGAAACUGUAAUUCUAGAGUAUGGGAGAGGUAGGUGGAAUUCCUGGUGUAGGGGUAAAAUCCGCAGAGAUCAAGAGGAAGACCCAUUGCGAAGGCGACCUGCUAGAACAUAACUGACGCUGAUGUGCGAAAGCGUGGGGAGCAAACAUGAUUAGAUACCCGUGUAGUC